Molecule: ribosomal RNA, 253 nt
Filed under: uncultured bacterium
Lineage: Bacteria
Description: partial 16S ribosomal RNA
Rfam family: Bacterial small subunit ribosomal RNA
Source: RNAcentral
UACGUAGGGUCCAAGCGUUAAUCGGAAUUACUGGGCGUAAAGCGUGCGCAGGCGGUUUUGUAAGCCAGAUGUGAAAUCCCCGGGCUUAACCUGGGAAUGGCAUUUGGGACUGCAAGGCUGGAGUUUGGCAGAGGAGACUGGAAUUCCCGGUGUAGCAGUGAAAUGCGUAGAUAUCGGGAGGAAUACCGAUGGCGAAGGCAGGUCUCUGGGCUAUAACUGACGCUCAUGCACGAAAGCGUGGGGAGCAAACAGG